RNAcentral lists this ribosomal RNA (253 nucleotides) under uncultured bacterium. RNAcentral's name for it is "partial 16S ribosomal RNA". It matches the Rfam family "Bacterial small subunit ribosomal RNA", at positions 524 to 776 of the family's 1533-position model. The record is from RNAcentral.
UACGGGGGGGGCAAGCGUUGUUCGGAAUUACUGGGCGUAAAGGGCGCGUAGGCGGCUCGCUAAGUUGGAUGUGAAAACUCUGGGCUUAACCCAGAGCCUGCAUCCAAAACUGGCAAGCUUGAGUACUGGAGGGGAAAGCGGAAUUCCUGGUGUAGCGGUGAAAUGCGUAGAUAUCAGGAGGAACACCGGUGGCGAAGGCGGCUUUCUGGACAGUAACUGACGCUGAGGCGCGAAAGCUAGGGGAGCAAACAGG